RNAcentral lists this ribosomal RNA (253 nucleotides) under uncultured prokaryote. RNAcentral's name for it is "partial 16S ribosomal RNA". It matches the Rfam family "Bacterial small subunit ribosomal RNA", at positions 524 to 776 of the family's 1533-position model. The record is from RNAcentral.
UACAGAGGGUGCAAGCGUUAAUCGGAAUUACUGGGCGUAAAGCGCGCGUAGGUGGUUUGAUAAGUUGGAUGUGAAAGCCCUGGGCUCAACCUGGGAACUGCAUCCAAAACUGUCUGGCUAGAGUACGGUAGAGGGUGGUGGAAUUUCCUGUGUAGCGGUGAAAUGCGUAGAUAUAGGAAGGAACACCAGUGGCGAAGGCGACCACCUGGACUGAUACUGACACUGAGGUGCGAAAGCGUGGGGAGCAAACAGG